Molecule: ribosomal RNA, 2914 nt
Filed under: Gammaproteobacteria bacterium
Lineage: Bacteria; Pseudomonadati; Pseudomonadota; Gammaproteobacteria
Description: 23S ribosomal RNA
Rfam family: Bacterial large subunit ribosomal RNA
Source: RNAcentral
GGUCAAGUGAAUAAGCGCAUGUGGUGGAUGCCUAGGCGGCAUAAGGCGAUGAAGGACGUAGUAAUCUGCGAUAAGCUUCGGUGAGUUGAUAAACAAACUUUGACCCGGGGAUUUCCGAAUGAGUGAACUCAGUCUACAUAAGUAGAUUAUCUCCAUCUGAAUAUAUAGGAUGGUAGAAGCAAACCUGGAGAACUGAAACAUCUAAGUACCCAGAGGAAAAGAAAUCAAUUGAGAUUUCCUUAGUAGCGGCGAGCGAAAAGGAAACAGCCCAGUUAUUUUAAUCCACACGACUACUAAUAAAACAAUCUGGAAAGGUUGGCCAAAGAAGGUGAUAGCCCUGUAUGUGAAAGUUUAGUGUGGUGGAUAACGAUGAGUAGAGCGGGACACGAGAAAUCUUGCUUGAACAUGGGGGGACCAUCCUCCAAGGCUAAAUACUCUAUGCCGACCGAUAGUGAACUAGUACUGUGAAGGAAAGGCGAAAAGAACCCCUGUUAGGGGAGUGAAAUAGAACCUGAAACCGUGUGCGUACAAGCAGUGGGAGCCCUUUCGGGGGUGACUGCGUACCUUUUGUAUAAUGGGUCAGCGACUUACUUUUUGUAGCAAGCUUAACCGUAAUAGGGUAGGCGGAGGGAAACCGAGUCUUAAUAGGGCGUUUAGUUGCAAGGAGUAGACCCGAAACCGGGUGAUCUAUCCAUGGCCAGUGUGAAGGUGGGGUAAUUCCUACUGGAGGCACGAACCCACUUAUGUUGAAAAAUGAGGGGAUGAGCUGUGGAUCGGAGUGAAAGGCUAAUCAAACCCGGAGAUAGCUGGUUCUCCGCGAAAGCUAUUUAGGUAGCGCCUCGUGUAUUACUGUUGGGGGUAGAGCACUGUUAUGGCUAGGGGUCCAUCCCGGAUUACCAAACCAUUGCAAACUCCGAAUACCAACAAGUAGAGCACGGGAGACAGACUGCGGGUGCUAACGUCCGUAGUCAAGAGGGAAACAACCCAGACCAACAGCUAAGGUCCCAAAAUUAUGACUAAGUGGAAAACGAAGUGGGAAGGCCCAGACAUCCAGGAGGUUGGCUUAGAAGCAGCCAUCCUUUAAAGAAAGCGUAAUAGCUCACUGGUUGAGUCGGCCUGCGCGGAAGAUUUAACGGGGCUCAAGUCAUAUACCGAAGCUUUGGACUCUAGUUUACUAGAGUGGUAGCGGAGCGUUCUGUACGUCACUGAAGGUGUAUCGUGAGAUAUGCUGGAGAUAUCAGAAGUGCGAAUGCUGACAUAAGUAACGAUAAUGUAGGUGAGAACCCUACACGCCGAAAACCUAAGGUUUCCUCCGCAACGUCAAUCGGCGGAGGGUUAGUCGGUACCUAAGGCGAGGCCGAAAGGCGUAGUCGAUGGAAAACAGGUUAAUAUUCCUGUACUCCUUUAUAUUGCGAUGGGGGGACGGAGAAGGUUAAAUCAGCCAGUCAACGGUUAUACUGGUUUAAGCAGGUAGGAAUGUUUCUUUGGUAAAUCCGGGAAGCUUUAUUCCGAGAUGCGACGACGAAGUUUUUUCUUCGGGAAAAACGAAGUGAUCUAUACCAUACUUCCAAGAAAAUCCUCUAAGCUUCAGAUAUAAAGAAGCCGUACCCUAAACGGACACACGUAGGUGGGAUGAGAAUUCUAAGGCGCAUGAGAGAACUCAGUUGAAGGAACUAGGCAAAAUGAUACCGUAACUUCGGGAGAAGGUAUGCCCUUUGUAUGUGAAGCCACUUGCUGGCUGAGCAAAAGAGGGUAGCAUUAAAACGAUGGCUGCGACUGUUUACUAAAAACACAGCACUCUGCAAACACGUAAGUGGAAGUAUAGGGUGUGACGCCUGCCCGGUGCCGGAAGGUUAAUUGAUGGGGUAAGUUAAUUUAUUAGCGAAGCUCUUGAUCGAAGCCCCGGUGAACGGCGGCCGUAACUAUAACGGUCCUAAGGUAGCGAAAUUCCUUGUCGGGUAAGUUCCGACCUGCACGAAUGGCGUAACGAUGGCCAUACUGUCUCCAACUGAGACUCAGUGAAAUUGAAAUCGCUGUGAAGAUGCAGUGUACGCGCGGCUAGACGGAAAGACCCCGUGCACCUUUACUACAGCUUUACACUGAACUUUGAAUUCAAUUGUGUAGCAUAGCUGGGAGACUUUGAAACUGAUGCGCUAGCAACAGUGGAGUCAACCUUUGAAAUACCAGCCUAUUGCCUUUGAAGUUCUAACCCAGAACCGUUAUCCGGUUCGGAGACAGUGUAUGGUGGGUAGUUUGACUGGGGCGGUCUCCUCCUAAAGAGUAACGGAGGAACGCGAUGGUACCCUCAAUACGGUUGGAAAUCGUAUGAUGCGUGUAAAGGCAUAAGGGUGCUUGACUGCGAGACAGACAUGUCGAGCAGGUAGGAAACUAGGUCUUAGUGAUCCGGUGGUUCUGUAUGGAAGGGCCAUCGCUCAAUGGAUAAAAGGUACGCCGGGGAUAACAGGCUGAUACUGCCCAAGAGCUCAUAUCGACGGCAGUGUUUGGCACCUCGAUGUCGGCUCAUCACAUCCUGGGGGUGAAGCAGCUCCCAAGGGUAUGGCUGUUCGCCAUUUAAAGUGGUACGCGAGCUGGGUUUAGAACGUCGUGAGACAGUUCGGUCCCUAUCUACCGUGCGCGUUUGAUAUUUGAUGGAAGUUGCUCCUAGUACGAGAGGACCGGAGUGAACCUAUCCCUGGUGUUCCAGUUGUCUCACCAGAGGCAUUGCUGGGUAGCUAUAUAGGGUUGUGAUAACCGCUGAAAGCAUCUAAGCGGGAAGCCAUACCAAAGAUAAGAUAUCACUGGACCUUUAAGGUCCCUAAAGAUCCGUUCAAGACUAGGACGUUGAUAGGCUGGGUGUGGAAGCUAGGUAACUAGUGAAGCUAACCAGUACUAAUUGAUCGUGAGGCUUGAUCUU